Molecule: unclassified non-coding RNA, 335 nt
Filed under: soil metagenome
Description: partial contains 5.8S ribosomal RNA, internal transcribed spacer 2, and large subunit ribosomal RNA
Rfam family: 5.8S ribosomal RNA (bases 1-120)
Source: RNAcentral
GAUGAAGAACGCAGCGAAAUGCGAUAAGUAAUGUGAAUUGCAGAAUUCAGUGAAUCAUCGAAUCUUUGAACGCACAUUGCGCCCGCCAGUAUUCUGGCGGGCAUGCCUGUUCGAGCGUCAUUUCAACCAUCAAGCCCCCGGCUUGUGUUGGGGACCUGCGGCUGCCGCAGGCCCUGAAAACCAGUGGCGGGCUCGCUAGUCACUCCGAGCGUAGUAAUACAUCUCGCUCAGGGCGUGCUGCGGGUUCCGGCCGUUAAAAGCCUUAUUUUACCCAAGGUUGACCUCGGAUCAGGUAGGAAGACCCGCUGAACUUAAGCAUAUCAAUAAGCGGAGGA